RNAcentral lists this ribosomal RNA (829 nucleotides) under uncultured Actinomycetes bacterium. RNAcentral describes it as "bacterial SSU rRNA". It matches the Rfam family "Bacterial small subunit ribosomal RNA", at positions 616 to 1447 of the family's 1533-position model. The record is from RNAcentral. Lineage: Bacteria; Bacillati; Actinomycetota; Actinomycetes.
CUGACCUGCAUCCGAUACGGUCGAGCUAGAGUUUGGUAGGGGAGACUGGAAUUCCUGGUGUAGCGGUGGAAUGCGCAGAUAUCAGGAGGAACACCGAUGGCGAAGGCAGGUCUCUGGGCCAAUACUGACACUGAGGAGCGAAAGCGUGGGGAGCGAACAGGAUUAGAUACCCUGGUAGUCCACGCCGUAAACGGUGGGCGCUAGUUGUGCGAACCUUCCACGGUUUGUGCGACGCAGCUAACGCAUUAAGCGCCCCGCCUGGGGAGUACGAUCGCAAGAUUAAAACUCAAAGGAAUUGACGGGGCCCCGCACAAGCAGCGGAGCAUGCGGCUUAAUUCGACGCAACGCGAAGAACCUUACCAAGGCUUGACAUAUACAGGAAUAUGGCAGAGAUGUCAUAGCCGCAAGGUCUGUAUACAGGUGGUGCAUGGUUGUCGUCAGCUCGUGUCGUGAGAUGUUGGGUUAAGUCCCGCAACGAGCGCAACCCUCGUUCUGCGUUGCCAGCAUUUAGUUGGGGACUCACAGGAGACUGCCGGGGUUAACUCGGAGGAAGGUGGGGAUGACGUCAAAUCAUCAUGCCCCUUAUGUCUUGGGCUGCACGCAUGCUACAAUGGCUGGUACAAACGGCUGCAAUACCGCAAGGUGGAGCGAAUCCGAGAAAGCCAGUCUCAGUUCGGAUUGGGGUCUGCAACUCGACCCCAUGAAGUCGGAGUUGCUAGUAAUCGUAGAUCAGCAACGCUACGGUGAAUACGUUCCCGGGGCUUGUACACACCGCCCGUCACAUCACGAAAGUCGGUAACACCCAAAGUCAGUGGCCCAACCGCAAGGA